This is a long non-coding RNA of Ipomoea triloba (trilobed morning glory), 831 nucleotides long. RefSeq lists it as uncharacterized. The record is from RefSeq and is a predicted model, not a curated record. NCBI's taxonomy places the organism in Eukaryota, Viridiplantae, Streptophyta, Magnoliopsida, Solanales, Convolvulaceae. The transcript has 4 exons.
CACUGAGCACGCCCUCCACAAUCCUACCACGCCCUCCAUUUUCUCCGUCUUCUCCAAGAUAUCAUAGAUUGCGAUUCCGCCUCUUCUCUCGCACUCAUCUUCAGAUUCUCCGUCUUCCUCAACCCUCACUCACCGCUCACCGCUCACCGCUCACGACUUCAACCCAGCCUCACUCCGCAAACUUCAUUCGAGCUGCUGCUACACGCCUCCUCAAAUGCAAUCGUAGCUCCGUCAAUCGUCUUCAUUCGUGAAACAACAGCUCAUCAGGGAGACCUUGAAGAGUCAGAUGAGCAAUUCCAGUCAAGAGAAGAGAGAGGGGUGGUAGGAAAAGGAAGCUCCUUGCUUUUGAGACUUUAAUUCCAUGAGAAAAAGAAUUGUCCCACCCAGAGAUACAGAUCCUAUUACCCUUGUUUCAAAGUUAUAUAUGCAAUGAUAAUCAAAUGAAAGAGUAUGUGUCCAAAUUGGAGAAGGAGUUAGCUGCAACUAGGGCUCAAUUGCAAGCUCAAAAUGAUAUGCAAAAAGCCAUGGGAGGGGCUCUUGUUGCUGUUUUGGAAAAAACUUUUGGUAAAGUUCCUGAACAAUUUGUUACCCUGUUAACCAAACAUCUCAACCAGUAUUCGAUGAAGGAUCACUUGCUGUUGCUGUUGCUGGAUUCAACCCGCACUUGAUGUUGAUGUUGAUGGAGUUUGUCAUUGUUGGUGUUUAGUAUUUUUUUGAUCAAUUGUUGUUGCUUUUAUGCUCAAAUAUUAAUAUAUUAUUGAAUACUAUUGAAUGUUACAAUUUAUUUUCUUUCCAAUUAAAUGUGUAUAUAAAGUUUAUUUGUGAUUGCAA